Molecule: long non-coding RNA, 438 nt
Organism: Ixodes scapularis (black-legged tick)
Lineage: Eukaryota; Metazoa; Arthropoda; Arachnida; Ixodida; Ixodidae
Exons: 3
Source: RefSeq, a predicted model, not a curated record
GCGGCUGGUGCGGCUGCGGCAUCGGCGGCACGUCAUCGAAACGAAACUUGUGCGGCUGGCAGUUGGUGCAACAGUGGACAGUGCGGCGAAGAUGAAUCGCUCAGCCUAGAACAGGAAUCAUCACAUCGACGGGUGCUUCGUUUUGACGUUGGUCUUGCUCUGCACGGAUCGUGUCUAUUUUCUUAGUCUACGUUCAGCAUCGUUUACAAGGCUCGGCAAGGCUGGCGUGGGUUCCGCAGUGCUAUGGCAGCAACGGGAACCAGCGUCGUGCUGAGGAGUUACGGAAGCAAUUUCUCUUGAGGCUUGCAUCACCGGCCGCGCGGUCGAUUGCACCCGCACAACCCGGCUGCGGCUCGCCUCCAGCUUCCGACCCCAUCGCUCCUGCUCAGUUGUGACAACCCUGUUUUGGUGCGCGACUUCAACGACUGUCAUGGUGAA